UCUGAAUCUGCGUACGGCUCCGCAAACCAGUUGUAAGCAAUAGCAAGGAUGCUCGUCGAACCCGGGGCUCGCGCCCCGGCAAGUAGGCGGGCGACAAGGAUACCCCUGGUAAUCCUGAGGCUAAUACUUGAGCGUACGACCUUGGCAGCCCUCGCGGCAGCCGGGGACCGUGCGAUCAUUCAAAGCGGUGGGAAACCAUCCGGGAAAGGACGCACAGUCAAACCGCGGCAAAAAAUGGUUCGGCGGAAUCCCUCGGCCUUCGCGGUCGGAGGAGAAGCCGUUUCUCGCGGGUCUUGCACUGCGCUUCUGACCUAUCAACUGUAUAGCAGUGUAAGGGACAUGCUAUGGU
Molecule: ribosomal RNA, 349 nt
Filed under: Physarum vernum
Lineage: Eukaryota; Evosea; Eumycetozoa; Physariida; Physaraceae
Description: partial 18S ribosomal RNA
Rfam family: Eukaryotic small subunit ribosomal RNA
Source: RNAcentral